GGGCCGGUAGCUCAGUGGUAGAGCGGAGGACUGCAGCAUAUUCAAGCUUCCUUCCUUAGGUCACCGGUUCGACUCCGGUUCUGCCCU
Lophiotrema nucula is the source of this 87-nucleotide non-coding RNA. Lineage: Eukaryota; Fungi; Ascomycota; Dothideomycetes; Pleosporales; Lophiotremataceae. The record is from the annotation of a GenBank genome assembly.